UAGUAGUUUGAUCCUGGCUCAGGACGAACGCUGGCGGUGCGCCUUAUGCAUGCAAGUCGAGCGAAGCUUUUCAGUAGUUUACUACAGAAAAUGACUGAGCGGCGAACGGGUGAGUAACGCGUGAGCAAUCUACCUUAGUUACAGGGAUAGCCCGAGGAAACUCGGAUUAAUACCUGAUAUUCUUUAAAUUUCGCAUGAAAUUAAAAGGAAAGGUCAGCCGAACUAAGAUGAGCUCGCGUUCUAUCAGCUAGUUGGUGAGGUAAAAGCUCACCAAGGCAACGACGGAUAGCUGGUCUGAGAGGACGAUCAGCCACACUGGGACUGAGACACGGCCCAGACUCCUACGGGAGGCUGCAGCAGGGAAUAUUGUGCAAUGAACGAAAGUUUGACACAGCGACACCGCGUGUGGGAUGACGGAUCUAGGUUUGUAAACCACUUUCAGGAGGGAAGAAAAUGACGGUACCUCCAUAAGAAGCCCCGGCCAACUACGUGCCAGCAGCCGCGGUAAUACGUAGGGGGCGAGCGUUGUCCGGAUUUAUUGGGCGUAAAGAGCUCGUAGGCGGUUCAACAAGUCGGUCGUAAAAGUUCAGGGCUCAACCCUGAAAUGUCGAUCGAUACUGUUGUGACUAGGAUACGGUAGAGGUGAGUGGAAUUCCGAGUGUAGCGGUGAAAUGCGUAGAUAUCGGGAAGAACACCAGUGGCGAAGGCGCUCUGCUGGGCCCAUCACUGACGCUCAUGGACGAAAGCCAGGGGAGCGAAAGGGAUUAGAUACCCCUGUAGUCCUGGCCGUAAACGAUGAACACUAGGUGUCGGGGGAAUCGACCCCCUCGGUGUCGUAGCCAACGCGUUAAGUGUUCCGCCUGGGGAGUACGCACGCAAGUGUGAAACUCAAAGGAAUUGACGGGGGCCCGCACAAGCGGUGGAGUAUGUGGUUUAAUUCGAUGCAACGCGAAGAACCUUACCAGGGUUUGACAUCCUGCGAAUCUCUUGGAAACAGGAGAGUGCCUUCGGGAACGCAGUGACAGGUGGUGCAUGGCUGUCGUCAGCUCGUGUCGUGAGAUGUUGGGUUAAGUCCCGCAACGAGCGCAACCCACGUCUUUAGUUGCCAGCAUUUAGUUGGGCACUCUAGAGAGACUGCCGGUGAUAAACCGGAGGAAGGUGUGGAUGACGUCAAGUCAUCAUGCCCCUUACAUCCUGGGCUACACACGUACUACAAUGCUACGGACAAAGGGCAGCAAGUUCGCGAGGACAAGCAAAUCCCAUAAACCGUGGCUCAGUUCAGAUCGUAGGCUGCAACUCGCCUACGUGAAGGCGGAAUCGCUAGUAAUCGCAGGUCAGCAUACUGCGGUGAAUACGUUCCCGGGCCUUGCACUCACUGCCCGUC
RNAcentral lists this ribosomal RNA (1384 nucleotides) under uncultured bacterium. RNAcentral's name for it is "bacterial SSU rRNA". It matches the Rfam family "Bacterial small subunit ribosomal RNA". The record is from RNAcentral.